Salvia hispanica is the source of this 1412-nucleotide non-coding RNA. The record is from RefSeq and is a predicted model, not a curated record. Lineage: Eukaryota; Viridiplantae; Streptophyta; Magnoliopsida; Lamiales; Lamiaceae.
AUUCUUUACUUGACUAUGAUGUUUCAAAUACGUGUAGGGUGUGGAACUGACUGACAGUAGUCACAUAUGGACCAAUACGAGAAAGUAUUUGGGCUCUUGUUUUUGCAUCAUUUAAUAGGGCAAAAUUCUUUCUUCUUCAUGAUAUUGCUUACUUAUUAUUUAUAUGGGGAAGAGGCUUUUGUACUAAGUCAAGAAAAAACUCAAAUUAGGUAUAGCUUAAUAAAGCGGAUGCCUGCCCAAAAGAUAUUUUUGCACAACCUAAUCGAAACUAAUGAUGUUAUAUGCAUCAAUAUGCUUCGUAUGGAUCGUCGUUGUUUUAGUAGAUUGUGUAAGUUACUUCAAACUCAUGGUGGACUUCGUUCUUCCAAAUAUGUUUCUAUUCAAGAACAAGUAGCUAUAUUUCUAAAUAUUAUAGCUCAUCAUACUAAGAUUAGAGUAAUAGGUUUUCAUUACAUGAGGUCAUAUGACACAAUAAGUAAAUACAUUAGAAAUGUCUUGUGGGUUGUCAUGAUUGUGCAUCGGUAUAUGUUAGUCACACCCCAAGCAGUUGAGGAAGGUUCAAGAGAUAGUACAUGGAAAUAUUUUCAGGGUUGCCUAGGUGCACUUGAUGGCACAUACAUCCAGUUACAAGUCCCAGCAGUAGAUAAACCUAGAUAUCGGUCAAGAAAAGGUGAUAUUGCAACAAAUGUUUUGGCGAUAUGCGAUAGAAAUGAGAGGUUUGCGUAUGUAUUAAGGGUCUGCGUAUGUAUUAACUGGAUGGGAAGGGUCUGCGGCUGAUGGGCGAGUGUUGAAAGAUGCAAUUAGUAGAGAUAAUGGUUUAAAAGUCCCAACGGGUUCUUAUUAUUUGUGUGAUGGUGGUUACACAAAUUGUGAAGGAUUUAUAGCCCCGUAUCGUGGAUUUAGAUACCAUCUUCGAGAAUGGGUGGCCGGUCGAAGAGUACCUCAAAAUUACAAAGAGUAUUUUCAACAUGAAACAUGCUAAGGGGAGGAAUGUUAUUGAGCGCGUGUUUGGACAACUAAAAAGCCGAUGGGCCAUUUUAUGCAGCAAUUCCUUUUAUCCAGUUGAGACCCAAAACAUGAUAAUCAUGGCUUGCACGUACUUCCAUAAUUUUAUCAAGGAGAACAUGGAGUAUGAUCCUGUGUUUGGCGACGAAGAAUACAUCGUUCAACUUGAGCAAAUAACGUUAGCUAAUGACGGUGGACAUGAAGUAUAUAUUGAAGCUGUUGAAGCGUCACAAGCUUGGAGUGCUUUUAGGGAACAACUUGCUCAACAAAUGUGGCUAGAAUACUAGAAUUAUGUGAUAGAACUUGUUUGAUAUUUUGUAUUAUUUUCUCUGUUAAUCCAUGUCGAAUGGAACUGUGAGUUUUCAGAUACCUUGAUUAAUGAAGAUAUUGAGAUGGUUGGUCUUUAA